RNAcentral lists this ribosomal RNA (528 nucleotides) under Heterosigma akashiwo. RNAcentral's name for it is "SSU rRNA". It matches the Rfam family "Eukaryotic small subunit ribosomal RNA", at positions 626 to 1116 of the family's 1831-position model. Lineage: Eukaryota; Raphidophyceae; Chattonellales; Chattonellaceae. The record is from RNAcentral.
GCUCGUAGUUGGAUUUCUGGUGGGAGUGAUCGGUCGGCCUCGCAAGGGGUCUGCACCUGUAUCGUCUCUUGCCAUCCUUCAGGAAGGCGCUUCUUGUAUUGACUUAUGGGUUGCGAAUUCCUGAUCUUUUACUGUGAAAAAAUUAGAGUGUUCAAAGCAGGCUUAGGCCGUUGAAUACAUUAGCAUGGAAUAAUGAGAUAGGGCCUUGGUGGUUUUCUAUUUUGUUGGUUUGCACGCCAAGGUAAUGAUUAAUAGGGAUAGUUGGGGGUAUUCGUAUUCAAUUGUCAGAGGUGAAAUUCUUGGAUUUAUGGAAGACGAACUACUGCGAAAGCAUUUACCAAGGAUGUUUUCAUUAAUCAAGAACGAAAGUUAGGGGAUCGAAGAUGAUUAGAUACCAUCGUAGUCUUAACCAUAAACUAUGCCGACUAGGGAUUGGCGGUCGUUUCUCAACGACUCCGUCAGCACCUUCCGAGAAAUCAAAGUCUUUGGGUUCCGGGGAGUUUUUGGGUCCAACAAGCGGGCGGGGCG